UUUAAAAUAAUUUGUCAAAGUGAGCUAAGUUACUGGCAACUCUGCCCUGAGAUAUCAAUCUCAAUCUCCGCAUCGACGCCAUUGUUUGGUCUGUGAUUGAAUAUGCCGAUCGCAUAUUCCCUGUUCUUGUUGGCACAGUGUUUACUCACCAUCCUGUAACUCAUUUAGCAGAAAUUACACAAAAAGAAAAGCAAUGAGUCCAGUACGGUGGUAGUGCCUACAUCUUCAGCCCAUACAAAAUUGCAUCACAAACUACAAAAAAUUUCCUGAGUUUGUCAAUUGUUGGAAGGAGGACAUUGUUAUUCAUUUUGAGAACAAUGCUCCAUUUCUUAGCGUUGCCAAUCUCCUUAGACACAUUGGGUAAAAUUGCUGUUGAAGAGAAUUUGGAUGUUUGUCAUGGUGGAUCCAAGCUCAAAAGCUCUUUUUCGGGAUUUGAAUACCAAAGAGAACAUUGUGGUUUCCAGCAUUUAGUCAUACAAAUCACUCGAUUACAAGACACAUUGCAUUUUACUUACCUCGAUGUCAAGGGCCGCUCGGUCGUGGAAAAUGCUGCCAAGAACCUUGUGGAGAUCCACAUCCAACCUUUCAAGUACACGUUUCCUAGAAUCGUCAUGCUUCAAGAGCCAUUGUUAUUUUUUCCUCCUGUUCCUCACUUUCAUCAUCUAAUUCUCCAUCACCAAGGUUUGAAAUGAAAAAAACAUGGAAAACGCAACAUCCAUCCUAUUUCAUUCUUCACCCUUUACCUUGCUCGCUACUUUUUCUUGUAAACAGAUUUAUCCAUGUGAUUGAUAUGCACGACAUGUUGUGUAGAUGGAUACCUUUGGUUUGGUAUCAACGCGUUUGAAGCGAGUGUACACAAACUUCUUUUAUUUUGUAUUUCGAUAUUUAAUUUUUUUUUUUAUUUUCUUCUGUCGUUUUACGUCUCGCGUAUGUAUAUACUACUAUAUUCCCAGAUUUAUUCACGAAUCCAUACAUUCUGAAUGAUUUUAGAAGUAUUUUUCUGCGAGUUAAUAAAAAAAAUUCAUAAUGAA
This 1031-nucleotide unclassified non-coding RNA is filed under the name Daphnia pulex (common water flea). Its description in RNAcentral is "uncharacterized LOC124197604, transcript variant X3". Lineage: Eukaryota; Metazoa; Arthropoda; Branchiopoda; Diplostraca; Daphniidae. The record is from RNAcentral.